CCGAAGUUUGGCCUGGGCAUAGCAGCCAACGCAAUAAACUACCCACUUGUCUCUCUCUCGUAGGUGACGUGUCCCGUGACUCUGUGCUGCUGCUGGCAUUGUUCGUCGGCGGCGGACAGGGUCGUCCGGGGGCACGCGCCGUCCCUGGAAGCAAGAACGCAGAACCCCGUGAAAGAAGGAAGCAUUAUGCGAUGUCGGGCGAGAGGCGUCUCGCCGAGCUUAACGUUGGUCGGUCCGCCGCCUGACGGAAAGCUCGAAACAAAGCGCACCCCACAAUUCAACCCCGAACAAACUCUGAAUCUGAACUCAAAAGGAGGCCCUAUACACUUAUAAUAGGGCCUUCUCAACCUUUUAACGUU
RNAcentral lists this unclassified non-coding RNA (359 nucleotides) under Papenfussiella kuromo. RNAcentral's name for it is "partial ITS1". The record is from RNAcentral. Lineage: Eukaryota; Phaeophyceae; Ectocarpales; Chordariaceae.